Molecule: small RNA, 168 nt
Filed under: Drosophila yakuba
Lineage: Eukaryota; Metazoa; Arthropoda; Insecta; Diptera; Drosophilidae
Description: GE28226
Source: RNAcentral
AUGAGCAUUCCCAACACAUAUAUAUUGAGUUAAAAUCGGCAGAGCAAAAUUCGUAUCUAUUGUUGUUUGAUGUUUUAAACGGGAAAUUCAAAAAGGAUAUCUAAGGCUGUGCUCAUUGUAUCUAUUCAAUAGAAGAUUAAAGAUGGCAACACAUGAUGGGGCUCAGUC